Molecule: non-coding RNA, 72 nt
Organism: Dipodomys ordii (Ord's kangaroo rat)
Lineage: Eukaryota; Metazoa; Chordata; Mammalia; Rodentia; Heteromyidae
Source: Rfam
GGGAAGGUGGCUCAGUGGUAGAGUGCUUGCUUUGCAUGCGUGAGGCCCUGGGUUCGAUUCCCCAGCAUUCCA